Molecule: non-coding RNA, 24 nt
Filed under: Rattus norvegicus (Norway rat)
Lineage: Eukaryota; Metazoa; Chordata; Mammalia; Rodentia; Muridae
Source: RNAcentral
UGUUGACUGUGGUGAAUGCUUUCC